Vitis riparia (riverbank grape) is the source of this 877-nucleotide long non-coding RNA. RefSeq lists it as uncharacterized. The transcript has 2 exons. Lineage: Eukaryota; Viridiplantae; Streptophyta; Magnoliopsida; Vitales; Vitaceae. The record is from RefSeq and is a predicted model, not a curated record.
GAAGAUUCUUCAAGUUCAAGGUGAAGGGUACUUUUAUAAUAACAUCUUCAGCUUUGUCGGCUGAGAUUUGUGAUUUGUAUCCCGAGCGGCGUGAACAGUAACCAGCCCUAUCUCCAUGGAUGGAGAAGACAAGAAACCAAGUCUGGAAUCACCAUUGAUUUCUCAAGAAGCUGUGUUUCACUCCAGGAAUGGAGCAAAAAGAGAGGAGAUCUUGGGUGAAGUGAAGAAACAGUUGAAAAUAGCAGGGCCUUUGAUGUUAGUCAAUGUUCUACUAUAUAGCUUACAGGUGAUUUCAGUAAUGUUUGUGGGUCAUCUGGGAGAGCUAGCUCUCUCUGGCGCUUCCAUGGCCACUUCCUUUGCUUCAGUCACUGGCUUCAGCUUGAUGUACUGGCAUGCUCCUUGUUCAUGGAAUCUUGACAAACACAUAUUAUAGCAGAGAGGAGGAAUUCUAAGGUUUCUCUUCUUCUUUGAAGACUUGAAUCCGUAGCAAUCAGGCUAAGGUUUGGUGAAGGAGAGAAGCUAUCAAUACAAAAGGAUUGUUGUGAGGAAAUAAAGUAUGAAGUAGGUGGGACUGUCUCUGUUGCCUUUUCCUUUCAAUGCUUGAACCUAAGUAUAUAGAGAAAGAGAAACAAAAGAAGGCAGAGUUGUUAUGGUCUAAGAAGAUCAUGUAGAAUCAAAGUUGUGAUCAAUGAGCUCAACAACUUAGUUGUUAUUUGAGAAGAAUAACAAGGAACCUUCACCCUUGAAGCAGAAGAUCAAGGAUUUCUAGAGUACAUCAGUGGUUGCCACAAGUAACAAAAGUAUAAGUUCUCAACUUUCUUUUAUUCCAUCAUUUAUAAGGGAAAAUUAUGAUUUUUGGCGUGUGAAAAUGAAAACA